Long non-coding RNA from Hippocampus comes (tiger tail seahorse), 335 nucleotides. RefSeq lists it as uncharacterized. NCBI's taxonomy places the organism in Eukaryota, Metazoa, Chordata, Actinopteri, Syngnathiformes, Syngnathidae. The transcript has 2 exons. The record is from RefSeq and is a predicted model, not a curated record.
GCGCUCCUCCACCGUGCGCUCGUACUGCAGCUGAGAUCGUCGCUCCUUCUCCCGGAUCAGCUGCUCCCGUGCCGCUGAAAGAGGGUGUGGAGGGCCUAACAAUGACUUCAACUUUUACCAUCAUCAUCAGCAUCUUCAUCACUGGCAGGGGGAGGAUGCUCGUAAAAAUAAUAGUCUAAUCUGUAGGGGGCCAUGUCAAUGCGCUCAACACCCUUCAAAGCUCUUCGACGACAGAGUGACGUCAUUACAAUAACAACGUAAUCUACGUUUUGCCUUUAAAUCUCCAACAAGGCUUCCCCUUCCGGAAGCACAAUUAAACAAAUUACAGGAAACAC